GCCUAACAGUAACUUGUUUUUACCUAUCCUUCAGGAUGCACAGGAGACUCCUGCCAAGAAAACUAUGAUUCCAACAGCAUUUUCUCAGGCUCAGCAGCUUGCUGAAAAGGAAAAUGUGACGCUACACAACGUGGAAACUUCUCCGAUAGCCUUGUGAAAGAGACAGUCGUCCUUGUAGAUUUUGCUACUACUAAUACAUGUACUACAUGUUUAUGUACAACACAUUUAUAUCAUUUACUGAGAUUUCUGUCAGACAAAUGUGUCAGACAAAAAUUAUUAGCAACAGUCAAAUAACUUCACAUAACUUUGUUGCCUAAAUCCAAAAGAUGCCAAAGUUUCAUCUGCCAGUAUGAUUGAGAAGUAAUGGUUAUCAUUAAUUUACACAUAUCAGAACAUAUGUAUUUUCCAAUAGCUAAUAAUAGUAAGUUUGAAAUGUUUCACAUGCAUGCACUGCCUCAAUGUCUUAUAAAAACAAGAAGCACUCAGUCACUAUUUCAAGAUAGAGUUUUUGCAUUUGAUACCAACUAAGACUUGUAUACAGGAGGUUGUUGUCUUAUCUACCUUUUUAAUAAGCCUUGAAGUUCAUUUAUCUGUAUUUGUGGCUGGACAAUUGAAGAAACUCAUUAAGAGAUGUUGAUUGGUUCAUCCAAGUCAUUUGGAAGAACGUUACUUGAAUUAGGAGCUGAAUUGUUUUGUUUGUAUCUUUCUUUGGAUUUGGCAGCUGAACCUGAUUCAAGGGAUUUCUACUUGUGCAAUAAGUGAACAUCCUUCUAAAUAACAUGACAUAGAGAUUAAGGCUUUUCCAACUAUCAACAGCAUAAGUUAACAAAGCUUCGGUUUAAUUCAGUUGCAAAAAGAUUUCUCUGUACUCUGCAAAGAAACCUCAGAUAUACUCAAGUACAUGGUGAAAUUUAUUCUACCUUUAGAAAAACUAGACAGUUGCUUUCAUCACAUAGAUAAGAAUACUUUUCAUCACAUGCAUCCUUUUUUUAAUUUGAUCACCUUUUUAAAAGGAGAUGAUUAAGCAGGAAACUCGAAAAUUUCUGUUACAUUGAUAGAAUCUGUUGUAUAUUUCAUGCAGUCAUUAUUUUACUGUAGGCUUUUGGAAUAUGCUUAUUCCACCACAUAUAUGCAUGUGCAUGCAAAUAGAAUUUAGUUUGCAACAUUCUACUAUACUAGUAUAUAAAUGCUGAUAGUCUAAGACAUUGUUUUGAUGGCCAUUGGUGGUAGGGACUAUAGAUUACUUUUUCAAUCUGUUGGUAUUUGAAGUUUUAAUUAUCAGUUUAAAGAAACCGUUAGCCCAGCAGUGUGUAUACUGCAACUCAUUUGUAACAUUAUUACUUUGUAUUAUUAUUAUUAAUUCCUUUCUUGUAAAUUUGUAUCAUAUUAACCAUCAUUUUGUAAUAUUUAAAUUCCAAUACUAUUAUUGUUUAACCUGAUUUGAUGUAUUAUACCAAUACUACCUUGUUGCACUGCUGUUUUCAGUCAGUUUGACAAGCUUGUAUCUAAGUUGUGUAAGAAAAUGUGGUCAUAACCUGAA
Molecule: long non-coding RNA, 1540 nt
Organism: Branchiostoma belcheri (Belcher's lancelet)
Lineage: Eukaryota; Metazoa; Chordata; Leptocardii; Amphioxiformes; Branchiostomatidae
Exons: 2
Source: RefSeq, a predicted model, not a curated record